AGAAUCAACGCUGGCGGCGUGCCUAACACAUGCAAGUCGAUCGAGAAAGUGGAGCAAUCCAUGAGUAAAGAGGCGCACGGGUGAGUAACACGUGACUAACCUACCUUCGAGUGGGGAAUAACCUGGGGAAACCCGGGCUAAUACCGCAUAAUACCUACGGGUCAAAGGAGCAAUUCGCUUGAAGAGGGGGUCGCGGCAGAUUAGUUAGUUGGCGGGGUAAUGGCCCACCAAGACGAUGAUCUGUAUCCGGCCUGAGAGGGCGCACGGACACACUGGAACUGAAACACGGUCCAGACUCCUACGGGAGGCAGCAGUGGGAAUUUGCGCAAUGGGGGAAACCCUGACGCAGCAACGCCGCGUGGAGGAUGAAGUCCCUUGGGACGUAAACUCCUUUCGACCGGGACGAUUAUGACGGUACCGGAUGAAGAAGCCCCGGCUAACUUCGUGCCAGCAGCCGC
This 458-nucleotide ribosomal RNA is filed under the name uncultured bacterium. Its description in RNAcentral is "SSU rRNA". It matches the Rfam family "Bacterial small subunit ribosomal RNA", at positions 26 to 518 of the family's 1533-position model. The record is from RNAcentral.